CUUGACAUCCAGAGAAUUUAGCAGAGAUGCUUUAGUGCCUUCGGGAACUCUGAGACAGGUGCUGCAUGGCUGUCGUCAGCUCGUGUUGUGAAAUGUUGGGUUAAGUCCGCAACGAGCGCAACCCUUAUCCUUUGUUGCCAGCACGUAAUGGUGGGAACUCAAAGGAGACUGCCGGUGAUAAACCGGGGGAAGGUGGGGAUGACGUCAAGUCAUCAUGGCCCUUACGAGUAGGGCUACACACGUGCUACAAUGGCGCAUACAAAGAGAAGCGACCUCGCGAGAGCAAGCGGACCUCAUAAAGUGCGUCGUAGUCCGGAUUGGAGUCUGCAACUCGACUCCAUGAAGUCGGAAUCGCUAGUAAUCGUAAAUCAGAAUGUUACGGUGAAUACGUUCCCGGGCCUUGUACACACCGCCCGUCACACCAUGGGAGUGGGUUGCAAAAGAAGUAGAUAGCUUAACCUUCGGGAGGGCGUUUACCACUUUGUGAUUCAUGACUGGGGUGAAGUCGUAACAAGGUAGGCGUAGUGCU
This 529-nucleotide ribosomal RNA is filed under the name uncultured bacterium. RNAcentral describes it as "bacterial SSU rRNA". It matches the Rfam family "Bacterial small subunit ribosomal RNA", at positions 980 to 1509 of the family's 1533-position model. The record is from RNAcentral.